AAAGAACGCUGGCGGCAUGCCUAACACAUGCAAGUCGAACGAAUAAGACUCAAACUUCGGUUUGAGACACUGUUAGUGGCAAACGGGUGAGUAACACGUAGGAAUCUACCUUAUAGUAUGGGAUAACAGUUGGAAACGACUGCUAAUACCGUAUACGCUCUUCGGAGGAAAGAUUUAUCGCUAUAAGAUGAGCCUGCGCUAGAUUAGAUAGUUGGUGGGGUAAUGGCCUACCAAGUCAAUGAUCUAUAGCUGGUCUGAGAGGACGAUCAGCCACACUGGGACUGAGACACGGCCCAG
This 297-nucleotide ribosomal RNA is filed under the name uncultured bacterium. RNAcentral's name for it is "partial 16S ribosomal RNA". It matches the Rfam family "Bacterial small subunit ribosomal RNA", at positions 31 to 334 of the family's 1533-position model. The record is from RNAcentral.